GCAUGGUCCCUCUUUCACGUGGUAAACAGCAGCCGGGUACCAUCCACUGCAUCCAUGACAAACCACCGUCCCGCUCCACGCCAUUGAUGUUACGUUCUAAAACAGUUCGGUUGUCGAUGGUCAGUGAUCAUGACACAAAGGGUUGGCAUUCUCGUAACAGCGACGAUUUGCGGGACAGUUGUUAAGGACCGCCCUUAGAAAAAUGCUCCUCGUUCCUUCAUCCUUGUCUACACCCACCGUUACACAAGUAUCGGAUUCUGCAGCUGGCAUACAAUAUUGACCGACCGUUUUUGAAGAUACAUCGGCUGCACAUGCCGAGUCAUAUUAACAGGCUGCUUAAGGUGCAUCAAGAUCGCAUCCGAAUUCUUGACGCUUCUUAUCUCGUCGACUAUACUCCUCUGCUGAUGUGGUCCAUCGACCUGCAGGAACAUGGUCGAGCUCAAGUAGAAUAAAUAAAAAUGUGCAACGAACAUUGAUCAGUCCUAAGCGUUUGAGUACAAUAACCGAGAUAUCUAAUUAGUCUUUGGGUCUGGCAUAUUGUUACCCUCAUAAGUAGCUUCCGUCCGGCUUGCACAUCGAGUGAAGCGACCAGCCUGCCCAUCGCGCUUCAGUCAGCUCGCGCUGUCCAGCACCAAAUGCAGUAACUAACCGGAGAAAUUCAAAGAGCGAAACUACAGCGAUCAGAUUUCAAACAAGUCAGCAAUUACUCGGAGGUCAUAGACAGCGGAAUUCCAACACAGGGUACGAGUUGGAUGUAGUAUAUUUUAAAGUAGGUAGGUGUUACCGCGAGCCUCCGAGAGAGUAGAAUUUUGCGUAAUAUCACAGCGUGAUAUUUGUGCAUGCCAUUAGUAAUUUGACGCUGUGUCUUAAUAAAGCAAUACUAACAGGCUGCAUACUCUUAAUAAAAACCUAAGACGUAUACAUAUUUCGGAUACGUCGGAAUAUUUGUCAACUUCAAAUUGUACAUUACACGAUUAUUUUUAAUAUUUUUCGAGAUACAUGACGCUUCUACCUCGACGGCAGAUCGUACAGCGCGGCAAUGUACAAAAUAUGAGGCUAACAGCAGCGCAUGGUGGUGCUCAUGAAGGCGAAUGGAACAAUUUCGAAUGUGAAGAGUCAACUUAUUGGUACUGGAGAAGCAGGCUAAGAACGUUCAAGUGAUGGUGAGAAUUCCGCCUGUCGAUACGAAUAGGGAAACCACAGCAUCCAGAGAAUGACGAAUUGUGAGAGUGAAUUAUUGAUAUAGAUACUAAUGAAUCCAAUGUAAUUGUCAAGUGAUUUGAUUUCUAUGUGAAUCUUGU
RNAcentral lists this long non-coding RNA (1301 nucleotides) under Neodiprion lecontei (redheaded pine sawfly). RNAcentral's name for it is "uncharacterized LOC124294269". The record is from RNAcentral. Lineage: Eukaryota; Metazoa; Arthropoda; Insecta; Hymenoptera; Diprionidae.